RNA transcript from Arachis ipaensis, 2062 nucleotides. It is a transcript of the gene named serine/arginine-rich splicing factor SR30, with no coding region annotated. The record is from RefSeq and is a predicted model, not a curated record. NCBI's taxonomy places the organism in Eukaryota, Viridiplantae, Streptophyta, Magnoliopsida, Fabales, Fabaceae.
UCAACACUUGUCCAGUUCUCCGUGCUCUGAUUUUGCUCAAUAAAUAUAUUUUCUCUAUCUGUCUCUGUUUCUCUCUCACUUUAACCUUCACCUUCCAUAAGCUUCUCUCAGCUUCUUCUCAUUUCAGUGCUUCGGGCGAAGAAAAAUGGCUAGACGGUCUAGUCGCACAAUUUAUGUUGGCAAUCUUCCUGGCGAUGUUCGCUUGAGGGAAGUAGAGGAUCUUUUCUACAAGUUUGGUCCUAUUGUUGACAUUGAUCUGAAGAUUCCUCCGAGACCACCAGGUUAUGCCUUUGUGGAGUUUGAGGAUAUCCGUGAUGCUGAAGAUGCCAUUUACUAUAGAGAUGGUUACAACUUUGAUGGUUUUCGGUUACGGGUUGAACUUGCACACGGUGGACGGGGUCAUACAUCAUCAGUAGACCGCUAUAGUAGCUAUAGUGGUAGUAGCAGUAGCCGUGGAGUUUCCAGGCGUUCCGAUUAUCGUGUUCUUGUAACAGGAUUACCCCCUUCUGCUUCAUGGCAAGACCUGAAAGAUCAUAUGCGAAGAGCUGGUGAUGUGUGUUUUUCUCAAGUCUUCCGUGAGCGUGGUGGUAUGACUGGGAUAGUGGAUUAUACAAAUUAUGAUGACAUGAAAUAUGCUAUAAGGAAGCUUGAUGACUCGGAAUUCAGAAAUGCCUUUUCUCGGUCAUACAUACGGGUCAGAGAAUAUGAUCGCCGGAGUUAUUCUAGAAGCCCCAGUCGUGAUUCAAGGAGGAGCUAUUCGAGAAGCCUCAGCCGCAGUCCAUAUGUGUCGCGAAGUCGAAGCUAUAGUCAAAGCCCUAGCUAUAGUGACAGGAGCAGAAGUUGGUCUCCAAAACCAAAGCAUUCUCGGCGUUCGUUAUCUCGCUCAAGCGAAUUGCUGUGCCCUAGAAGUAUCAGCAAUUAAGCAUAAUUCCUCAUACGUGGAAAGGUGGAUGGGGCAUUGGUAAAGUGGAUUGUCAGCUUUUGCCAAUAAUUUACUCAAUGUUCAUUAGGCUUGGCUCUUGUUUUCUAGAUGUGGCCUUUUCUGGUGACCUGGGAACUUCGUGUUAGGACCUGAGGGUAUGUGGUGCUCAAAACGCCUGCAACUUUUGGUCCAAGGUAAUAUUGUUUAAUUGAUGAGCACCUGUGGAACACCUUAAUGCUGCGACUAACGGUAACAGUAAUGGUAUAUUGAUUUAAGGCACAGUCUGCAAUUGUUGGCUGGAUGCCUAUAGAUGGAUGAGUUGCAAUCUAAAAGGUGGAUUACCAUGAACUAAGUGCUAUUGUUACCGACCAUUUCAAACCAGCAGAGUUACAAUUCGAAAAUUACAACAUAGUCUCUGGUUUAAGUUCUGGGGUCAGCCAUAUUCGUCUGCUAGGAUUCCUUUUAUUGUCCUGUGUUGGGUUUGUUUUGGUUAAAAUGUUGGGUAUAAUUGGUUGAAGGUGUCGUGCUGCUGACAAUAGAUUGUUUGGCAAUUGUUGAGACUAUAGACGUGCGAUGAAUUGGGUUCUUAUUCACUUGGAUCCCGUGCAAGAUUUGUGGUAGAUUGAUUUCUUCCUUGUGGUUUGGUAACCUUGAUGUGGAAUAUUGCUCUCGUGGAUGGAACUCCUUCUGUGGAUCAUUCUGCAUACUGAUUUGAGUUUUGUUCAUUCUAAAAUUUUGCAGAUCUGUCUCAAGAUCCAGAUCUCCUUAUUCAUCUCCUCGACCUUACAGUCGUAGCCAAAGUCCAAGGAGCAUGUAAUAGUCUCACCCGACCCCAGUGAGAUCUGAUGAAUGCAGCCAUUCUGUUGAGUUUGCUUUGGAGACUUGCCAUUGACUCUGUAUUUUCUAUACUACAAUUUUAAUUUGACAAGUGAGACCUAGGAUACAUACCAUUGUAGCUCUAUCUUAUUAUGUACUUGAAUUUUAAAGUUGUCAUGAGGAGUUUAUAUUUGGUAGAUUAUAGCAAAUUGAUAUGAAAUAUUAAACUAUGGAUGGGGCAUGUAUGUUACAUUCUGUCCAGCGACACCGAUAUUGGAUGUGGUUAGUUAUUGCCUAUUGAUGGUGUUCGUGCUUGAUUUUCUC